Molecule: long non-coding RNA, 557 nt
Filed under: Homarus americanus (American lobster)
Lineage: Eukaryota; Metazoa; Arthropoda; Malacostraca; Decapoda; Nephropidae
Description: uncharacterized LOC121860106, transcript variant X1
Source: RNAcentral
UAUAUAAUGUCUAUAUGCAAGUAUUUAUGAAUGUUAUGUUUUAAAGUUUUUUGUAUUCCAGGUUUGUUUGUGUGGCUGACUGGACCUACUACAAGGUGCUUCUUGGAGAUACAUCAGUGAUGGUGAGGCCGUCACAUUACCAGCGGUUGUGGAUUUCUCAAUUCAACCUUUAUAUUGCAGACUCCACAUAAGGUAAAACACUUCCAUUCAGCAAUUGGUGUGCAGUGUCCAGAUUGUCAACAUUUAGUUCAGUAUGAUGUUACUUCUGGCCAGCUUAACCUGAGGAGAAAGUCAGUACAGUACACGAUUAGAUUUUGAAAAGGAAACUGCAAAAUCUCAUGGUGUUGUCCCGACCUCCGUAAAGUGUCAUUAAUGCAAGAACGAAUGUAAGUGUCGUCAAGACCAACACAUGUGGUAACUCCAACGAGAACCAGGCCAAUAAGACACUGUACUGUACGUCGCCGCUCUUCAGUGACUACAUCACAACACAUUCACGUAAAGAGUUCUCAGUUAAAUCAGUCGUUGUAAACAAGGAAAUAAAUAACUUUCUCCUAUUA